ACCUACCUAUAAGACUGGGAUAACUUCGGGAAACCGGAGCUAAUACCGGAUAAUAUUUUGAACCGCAUGGUUCAAAAGUGAAAGACGGUCUUGCUGUCACUUAUAGAUGGAUCCGCGCUGCAUUAGCUAGUUGGUAAGGUAACGGCUUACCAAGGCAACGAUGCAUAGCCGACCUGAGAGGGUGAUCGGCCACACUGGAACUGAGACACGGUCCAGACUCCUACGGGAGGCAGCAGUAGGGAAUCUUCCGCAAUGGGCGAAAGCCUGACGGAGCAACGCCGCGUGAGUGAUGAAGGUCUUCGGAUCGUAAAACUCUGUUAUUAGGGAAGAACAUAUGUGUA
This 341-nucleotide ribosomal RNA is filed under the name Staphylococcus aureus. Its description in RNAcentral is "bacterial SSU rRNA". It matches the Rfam family "Bacterial small subunit ribosomal RNA", at positions 124 to 459 of the family's 1533-position model. The record is from RNAcentral. Lineage: Bacteria; Bacillati; Bacillota; Bacilli; Caryophanales; Staphylococcaceae.